This 30-nucleotide non-coding RNA is filed under the name Mus musculus (house mouse). The record is from RNAcentral. Lineage: Eukaryota; Metazoa; Chordata; Mammalia; Rodentia; Muridae.
UCNCCUCUUUUCAGCGACCAUCUUGCCUUC